AUUGAACGCUGGCGGCAUGCCUUACACAUGCAAGUCGAACGGCAGCACGGGUGCUUGCACCUGGUGGCGAGUGGCGAACGGGAGAGUAAUACAUCGGAACGUACCUUAUCGUGGGGGAUAACGCAGCGAAAGCUGUGCUAAUACCGCAUACGCCCUGAGGGGGAAAGCGGGGGAUCGAAAGACCUCGCGCGAUUAGAGCGGCCGAUGCCUGAUUAGCUUGUUGGUGGGGUAAAAGCCCACCAAGGCGACGAUCAGUAGCUGGUCUGAGAGGACGAUCAGCCACACUGGGACUGAGACACGGCCCAGACUCCUACGGGAGGCAGCAGUGGGGAAUUUUGGACAAUGGGGGCAACCCUGAUCCAGCAAUGCCGCGUGAGUGAAGAAGGCCUUCGGGUUGUAAAGCUCUGUUGUCAGGGAAGAAACACCGGCUCUAACACAGUCCGGGAAUGACGGUACCUGAAGAAUAAGCACCGGCUAACUACGUGCCAGCCGCCGCGGUAA
This 501-nucleotide ribosomal RNA is filed under the name uncultured bacterium. Its description in RNAcentral is "partial 16S ribosomal RNA". It matches the Rfam family "Bacterial small subunit ribosomal RNA", at positions 29 to 523 of the family's 1533-position model. The record is from RNAcentral.